CCCCCUGAACGGAGGCUCAACUUGUGAAUCUGCGCUCUGCUCGCCAAUCCCUUCACAAGUUGUGGGAUUAGCCAAGGGGGAAUCCAUGAAGCUAAUAUUGGUGGGARACCGAUAGCGUACAGUACCGUGAGGAAAGAUGCAAAGAACUUUGAAAAGAGAGUUAAAUACGAAAUUGAAAGGGAAGCGAAGGAAACCAGUGUUGUUGCGCAGUCUACUUCUCCGUCCGCUCGCGGUCGGGCGCGUGUCUGUUGGCGCUUGCUU
Molecule: ribosomal RNA, 261 nt
Filed under: Staurosira subsalina
Lineage: Eukaryota; Bacillariophyta; Fragilariophyceae; Staurosirales; Staurosiraceae
Description: partial 28S ribosomal RNA
Source: RNAcentral